AACGAACGCUGGCGGCAGGCUUAACACAUGCAAGUCGAGCGCCUCGCAAGAGGAGCGGCAGACGGGUGAGUAACGCGUGGGAACGUACCCUUAUCUUCGGAAUAGCUCUGGGAAACUGGAAGUAAUACCGAAUGUGCCCUUAGGGGGAAAGAUUUAUCGGAUAAGGAUCGGCCCGCGUUGGAUUAGCUAGUUGGUGGGGUAAAGGCCUACCAAGGCGACGAUCCAUAGCUGGUCUGAGAGGAUGAUCAGCCACAUUGGGACUGAGACACGGCCCAAACUCCUACGGGAGGCAGCAGUGGGGAAUAUUGGACAAUGGGCGCAAGCCUGAUCCAGCCAUGCCGCGUGAGUGAUGAAGGCCUUAGAGUUGUAAAGCUCUUUCACCGGAGAAGAUAAUGACGGUAUCCGGAGAAGAAGCCCCGGCUAACUUCGUG
RNAcentral lists this ribosomal RNA (431 nucleotides) under uncultured bacterium. Its description in RNAcentral is "partial 16S ribosomal RNA". It matches the Rfam family "Bacterial small subunit ribosomal RNA", at positions 29 to 507 of the family's 1533-position model. The record is from RNAcentral.